Molecule: ribosomal RNA, 253 nt
Filed under: uncultured bacterium
Lineage: Bacteria
Description: partial 16S ribosomal RNA
Rfam family: Bacterial small subunit ribosomal RNA
Source: RNAcentral
UACGUAGGAGGCGAGCGUUGUCCGGAAUUACUGGGCGUAAAGGGCGCGUAGGCGGCCGAUCAAGUCAGAUGUGAAAGUCCUGGGCUUAACCUGGGGACUGCAUUUGAUACUGAUUGGCUUGAAUUCGGGAGAGGAUAGCGGAAUUCCCAGUGUAGAGGUGAAAUUCGUAGAUAUUGGGAAGAACACCGGUGGCGAAGGCGGCUAUCUGGACCGACAUUGACGCUGAUGCGCGAAAGCGUGGGGAGCAAACAGG